RNAcentral lists this ribosomal RNA (262 nucleotides) under uncultured archaeon. Its description in RNAcentral is "partial 16S ribosomal RNA". It matches the Rfam family "Archaeal small subunit ribosomal RNA", at positions 748 to 1009 of the family's 1478-position model. The record is from RNAcentral.
CAGCCGUAAACUAUGCGCGUUAGGUGUACUGGUGACCACAAGUCACCGGGGUGCCGAAGGGAAACCGUGAAACGUGCCGCCUGGGAAGUACGGUCGCAAGGCUGAAACUUAAAGGAAUUGGCGGGGGGAGCACCACAACGGGUGGAGCCUGCGGUUUAAUUGGAUUCAACACCGUAAAACUCACCAGGGAAGACUGUUACAUGAAAGCCGAGAUGAAGACUCUGCUAGAUUUUCAGAGAGGAGGUGCAUGGCGUAGACGUCU